RNAcentral lists this ribosomal RNA (301 nucleotides) under uncultured bacterium. RNAcentral's name for it is "partial 16S ribosomal RNA". It matches the Rfam family "Bacterial small subunit ribosomal RNA", at positions 509 to 809 of the family's 1533-position model. The record is from RNAcentral.
CAGUCGCCGCGGGAAUACGAAGGGGGCUAGCGUUGUUCGGAAUUAUUGGGCGUAAAGGGUGCGUAGGCGGCUUGACAAGUCUUGUGUGAAAUCUAUGGGCUCAACCCAUAGUCUGCACGGGAAACUGUCGGGCUUGAGAAUGGGAGAGGUGAGUGGAAUUUCCGGUGUAGCGGUGAAAUGCGUAGAUAUCGGAAGGAACACCUGUGGCGAAAGCGGCUCACUGGACCAUUUCUGACGCUGAUGCACGAAAGCUAGGGGAGCAAACAGGAUUAGAUACCCCCGUAGUCCCUGUCUCUUAUAA